Molecule: ribosomal RNA, 492 nt
Filed under: uncultured bacterium
Lineage: Bacteria
Description: partial 16S ribosomal RNA
Rfam family: Bacterial small subunit ribosomal RNA
Source: RNAcentral
AGUGAACGCUGGCGGUAGGCCUAACACAUGCAAGUCGAACGGCAGCACAGUAAGAGCUUGCUCUUACGGGUGGCGAGUGGCGGACGGGUGAGGAAUACAUCGGAAUCUACUUUUUCGUGGGGGAUAACGUAGGGAAACUUACGCUAAUACCGCAUACGACCUACGGGUGAAAGCAGGGGAUCUUCGGACCUUGCGCGAUUGAAUGAGCCGAUGUCGGAUUAGCUAGUUGGCGGGGUAAAGGCCCACCAAGGCGACGAUCCGUAGCUGGUCUGAGAGGAUGAUCAGCCACACUGGAACUGAGACACGGUCCAGACUCCUACGGGAGGCAGCAGUGGGGAAUAUUGGACAAUGGGCGCAAGCCUGAUCCAGCCAUACCGCGUAGGUGAAGAAGGCCUUCGGGUUGUAAAGCCCUUUUGUUGGGAAAGAAGAGCAGCAGGUUAAUACCCCGCUGUUCUGACGGUACCCAAAGAAUAAGCACCGGCUAACUUCGUG